Molecule: ribosomal RNA, 817 nt
Filed under: uncultured bacterium
Lineage: Bacteria
Description: bacterial SSU rRNA
Rfam family: Bacterial small subunit ribosomal RNA
Source: RNAcentral
UNUGACUUGAGUGCAGGAGGGGAGAGUGGAAUUCCAUGUGUAGCGGUGAAAUGCGUAGAUAUAUGGAGGAACACCAGUGGCGAAAGCGGCUCUCUGGUCUGUCACUGACGCUGAGGCUCGAAAGCGUGGGUAGCGAACAGGAUUAGAUACCCUGGUAGUCCACGCCGUAAACGAUGAGUGCUAGGUGUUAGGCCCUUUCCGGGGCUUAGUGCCGGAGCUAACGCAAUAAGCACUCCGCCUGGGGAGUACGACCGCAAGGUUGAAACUCAAAGGAAUUGACGGGGGCCCGCACAAGCGGUGGAGCAUGUGGUUUAAUUCGAAGCAACGCGAAGAACCUUACCAGGUCUUGACAUCCCGAUGCUAUUCUUAGAGAUAGGAAGUUACUUCGGUACAUCGGAGACAGGUGGUGCAUGGUUGUCGUCAGCUCGUGUCGUGAGAUGUUGGGUUAAGUCCCGCAACGAGCGCAACCCUUAUUGUUAGUUGCCAUCAUUAAGUUGGGCGCUCUAGCGAGACUGCCGGUAAUAAACCGGAGGAAGGUGGGGAUGACGUCAAAUCAUCAUGCCCCUUAUGACCUGGGCUACACACGUGCUACAAUGGUCGGUACAACGAGUUGCGAGCCGGUGACGGCAAGCUAAUCUCUGAAAGCCGAUCUCAGUUCGGAUUGGAGGCUGCAACUCGCCUCCAUGAAGUCGGAAUCGCUAGUAAUCGCGGAUCAGCACGCCGCGGUGAAUACGUUCCCGGGCCUUGUACACACCGCCCGUCACACCACGAGAGUUUGUAACACCCGAAGUCGGUGAGGUAACCUUUUAGGGNCCAG